This 303-nucleotide ribosomal RNA is filed under the name uncultured bacterium. Its description in RNAcentral is "partial 16S ribosomal RNA". It matches the Rfam family "Bacterial small subunit ribosomal RNA", at positions 507 to 809 of the family's 1533-position model. The record is from RNAcentral.
AGCAGUCGCCACGGUAAUACGAAGGGGGCAAGCGUUGUUCGGAAUUAUUGGGCGUAAAGGGUGCGUAGGCGGUUUGAUAAGACAGAUGUGAAAUCCCCGGGCUUAACCUGGGAACUGCAUUUGUGACUGGCGAGCUAGAGUAUGGCAGAGGGGGGUAGAAUUCCACGUGUAGCAGUGAAAUGCGUAGAGAUGUGGAGGAAUACCGAUGGCGAAGGCAGCCCCCUGGGCCAAUACUGACGCUCAUGCACGAAAGCGUGGGGAGCAAACAGGAUUAGAUACCCGAGUAGUCCCUGUCUCUUAUAA